AAAAAGAUAAACUCUAUAUUUUCGUGUCCAAUAUUUGACUAUUCUUCUUAUAUUAAAUUUUUUUAUAAUUAGUAUUUUUAUUAUUGUUAGAUGAUAAAACAUGAUUAAUACUUUAUGUGUGAUUUAUCUUUUUAUUUUUUUCAAAUAAGACGAAUGGUCAAACAUGACACGGAAAUCCAGGGUUUAUCUUUUU
Non-coding RNA from Oryza glumipatula, 193 nucleotides. The record is from Rfam. NCBI's taxonomy places the organism in Eukaryota, Viridiplantae, Streptophyta, Magnoliopsida, Poales, Poaceae.